RNAcentral lists this ribosomal RNA (351 nucleotides) under Manaosbiidae sp. MZSP 73038. RNAcentral's name for it is "partial large subunit ribosomal RNA". Lineage: Eukaryota; Metazoa; Arthropoda; Arachnida; Opiliones; Manaosbiidae. The record is from RNAcentral.
ACUCAGAUCACGUAAAAUUUUAAUAGUCGAACAGACUAAAUUCCUUAAGCUCCUACACCCAAAAUCCAUUUUAAUUCAACAUCGAGGUCACAAUCCCAAUUAUUAAUAAGAACUUUCUAAUUAUAUUAUGCUGUUAGCCCUAAAGUAACUUAUUAAAUUUAAUAUUUAUAAUUUAAAAAUCUUCUUCUUCAUUUAUUGCCCCAAUAAAAAACUACUUUAGUUGUAAGCUUUUAGGGUCUUCUCGUCCCUAAAAAUUAAAAAAGCAUUUUUACUUUUAAUUAAAAUUCAACACCUUAUAAUAAAACCUUCCCCUAUAGUCACUACCUUUCAUUCCAGUUCCCAGUUAAAAAA